UCCAAGAAUCCAGCCAUUCCAGAAAGC
This 27-nucleotide non-coding RNA is filed under the name Homo sapiens (human). The record is from RNAcentral. Lineage: Eukaryota; Metazoa; Chordata; Mammalia; Primates; Hominidae.